AAAAAGUGGAGUCCAGCUCCCACUCAAAAAAACGGGGUGUAACCGAAAAACCUAAAGAGUAGGAAAACA
Non-coding RNA from Bacteroidetes bacterium GWA2_30_7, 69 nucleotides. The record is from Rfam. NCBI's taxonomy places the organism in Bacteria, Pseudomonadati, Bacteroidota.